This is an RNA transcript of Oryza brachyantha (malo sina), 1363 nucleotides long. It is a transcript of the gene named protein HASTY 1-like, with no coding region annotated. The transcript has 8 exons. NCBI's taxonomy places the organism in Eukaryota, Viridiplantae, Streptophyta, Magnoliopsida, Poales, Poaceae. The record is from RefSeq and is a predicted model, not a curated record.
GACGCCACCUCCGUCCUCGCGCACCACCCCGCGCCGCCUCCUCCCUUCACCACCCCCGCCGCCUCCUUCCUCCUGCCGCGAAGCAGUCCGCCUCAUCCCGUCGCCGGAAGCCCGAGACCCCUCCUCCCUCACCCCGUGAAAGCAUGCCGUAUAUUUUAUUAUACACAAGCAUGGUGCAUCUAGUCUGUCAAAACAGAAAGUUGUUCAGCAAGUGUUGAGAAGAAAAUGGUGGUGAAGAGCUUUUAAUGCUUGCUGGUUGCACUACUAAAAGUAAUUCUCAAAUGGAUGCUGCUGCUGAACUAGAGAGUCACAUGUUUGGCUUCUCUGGGGAUGUUGCAAGCUGUGAGAAUGAAACUAAUUUCACUGAUUAUGCGAAACAGUCAAAUGAGCUUGGCCAUACAAGAAUGUCGGGUACUGGUGGGGGUGAUGUUCAUCAGAUGCUCGCAGAGCACACCAUUAUAUCUGAAGCAUUUCUUUCUGCAACAACUUGUUCAUGGUUUGAGAAAGACAAAGCUUUGCUUGCCUCUCUCCUUAAUUCCUUGCAAAGUCUUUGGGCACAACCACAGUGGCAAGCUUGCCUAAAGGAUUUAUGUUGUCACGGUGAAUUUAGGAGGUCUAUGCUCAAAAUUGUAAAAUUAUUUGAGGAAGAGCUUAAAAAACACAGGGUAGAGACUGAUGUAUUACAUGAAUCAGACCAAAUAAGCUAUUCAACUUUAACUUUCCUAGUUUCAUUGAUCAUUCCUCCCCUUCUUAAGCUGAUUCGAUUUGUACAUACACUAUGGAUGGAUGAAACUGUGUUUAGAUUCCCAGAGGAACUUAUAUAAGCUAGAGAGUGGAGAUUCAAAGGAGAAAUGCUAGAAUUUCUCAAUGUUAGUCUUGAAGAGUUGGAAGAGAAUGAAUUAGCACAAUGGUUACAACUAAUCCGAGAGAGUGGGUACAACCUAUUAGGUUUAUGUGCAACCAUAAAGGGAGCAUUCUCAGAGUUGUUAGACAUUUCAUCAAUCAAUGAUGCUAUAAUGCAAAACAUAAGAUCAAUGGAAUUUCGGCAUGUAGCCAAACUUAUCGAUCUUGUCAUUAUUCCAUUCAUCAAGCAUUGCCCUCAUAAUCUAUGGGAAGAACGGAUGUUGAAGCUCUUACUACCCUUGUUUGACUACUGUGGAGACAUGCUUCACUACUCAUGGUUCACUCUUCUAAAUAAUGGUCGGGCUAAUGUUCCACAUUACUGUUCUUUUGCAAAAUAGCCUUGGUAUUUCCUGAUAUUACGAAAUAGUGGUUCAAACAAGUGAUAUGAGCAUAGUUGAUAAAAAAAAUCCCUAUAAUAUUUUGUAAUAUAAUUCUAUAGCAAAGCAUGGGUAUUUUGCUA